RNAcentral lists this ribosomal RNA (1026 nucleotides) under Rhizopus lyococcus. RNAcentral describes it as "LSU rRNA". It matches the Rfam family "Eukaryotic large subunit ribosomal RNA", at positions 38 to 960 of the family's 3401-position model. Lineage: Eukaryota; Fungi; Mucoromycota; Mucoromycetes; Mucorales; Rhizopodaceae. The record is from RNAcentral.
CCAUAUCAAUAAGCGGAGGAAAAGAAAAUAACAAUGAUAUCCCUAGUAACGGCGAGUGAAGAGGAUAGAGCUCAAAGUUGGAACCUGCUUGGUGUAGCUAAGCCGGAUUGUAAACUAGAGAAGUGUUUUCCUGGCUGGCCGAGUAAAAAAGUCCUUUGGAACAGGGCAUCAUAGAGGGUGAGAAUCCCGUCUUUGGCUCGAGCAUUAGUCUUUUGUGAUACAUUUUCAAUGAGUCAGGUUGUUUGGGAAUGCAGCCUAAAUUGGGAGGUAAAUCUCUCCUAAAGCUAAAUAUUUGCGAGAAACCGAUAGCGAACAAGUACCGUGAGGGAAAGAUGAAAAGAACUUUGAAAAGAGAGUUAAACAGUAUGUGAAAUUGUUAAAAGGGAACCGUUUGGAGCCAGUCUGGCUUUCCUAUAAUCAAUCUAGGCUUCGGCCUUGAUGCACUUGUAGGUUAUCGCCGGCCAACGACAAUUGGGAUCGCGAGGGAAAAAACCUUUGGAAAUGUAGCCAUUCUGCAAAGUUUGGUGUUAUAGUCCUUGGGAAAAUACCUUGUGCUCGAUUGAGGAUCGCAGUGAAUGCCUUUCGGGGCAGGAUGUGGUGAGGUAGGUUUGCUUGACCUAAGGUGACUUUCGGGUUGCUUUAGCGAUGGCUUACUCCUUGCUUCUAUCUUUAUUCGCUUAGGUUGUUGGCUUAAUGACUCUAAAUGACCCGUCUUGAAACACGGACCAAGGAGUCCACCAUUAGUGCGAGUAUUUGGGUGCCAAACUCAUCUGCGUAAGGAAACUGAUUGAUAUGAAUCCCUUUUUAUACGGGGGAGGCAAUAUCGUCCGGCGUUGACGUUUUAUACUGAAAUGACCGAGAUAAAGCACUAAUGAUGGGACCCGAAAGAUGGUGAACUAUGCCUGAAUAGGGUGAAGCCAGAGGAAACCCUGGUGGAGGCUCGUAGCGAUUCUGACGUGCAAAUCGAUCGUCAAAUUUGGGUAUAGGGGCGAAAGACUAAUCGAACCAUCUAGUAGCUGGUUCCUG